UAAGUUUCAGAUCACCAUAAAAAUGGUGGAAAUCAUACCUGGUUUCCUCGGAAGUUCAUGGUUCCACCAACAAGGGACAAAAGAGAUGCAGAAUAUUUGUGGUAAUUCUUCUCCUGUCUCAAGAGAGAUCUAAAGUUUCCAAUGUUUGAAUAGACAGUUUAGAAGAUGCUGCAUCACUCAACACUUCUGUCUGAGGGGAAGAUUGAGGGAACCCAGAAUUCCACAAGAGCUUGUCUACCAGCGUUCAGAUCUCAGGAGUAUGGCCGAGUGCAAAGCUGCAUUCAUGGAGACAAAAGUUCUUACCCUGCAGGAUAAGAGACUUUGCUCCUUCAGACCCACCACAUGCAUCCUAGGGAAUCUAAAGUGUCAUUUCCUCUCUGGAAGAAAGGAAGCACAAAACAUGC
This is a long non-coding RNA of Canis lupus familiaris (dog), 404 nucleotides long. RefSeq lists it as uncharacterized. The transcript is spliced from 3 exons. NCBI's taxonomy places the organism in Eukaryota, Metazoa, Chordata, Mammalia, Carnivora, Canidae. The record is from RefSeq and is a predicted model, not a curated record.